This is an RNA transcript of Motacilla alba alba, 2161 nucleotides long. It is a transcript of the gene named RAD51 associated protein 1, with no coding region annotated. The record is from RefSeq and is a predicted model, not a curated record. The transcript is spliced from 9 exons. NCBI's taxonomy places the organism in Eukaryota, Metazoa, Chordata, Aves, Passeriformes, Motacillidae.
CAGCUGCGCGUCCGCAGCGGCACUUUCGGCGCUGUGCCUGUGGCGAAGGCGCCAAGCGGCGCCGGCGGCAGCGGGGAUGGCGCGGCCGGCCAGGAGGAACAAGAAAGUUGUUGAUUAUUCUCAGUUUGGGGAUUUGGAAGAUGAUGAUGAAGACUUUGCACCUUCAAGAAAAAAAUCCAGAACACAGCUCAAGGAAUCAAAGAAGGAGAAAAAAGAUAAGUCAAAAAAGCCCAAAGAAGUGACUCCAUCACAGACACAGACACUUAGUAAGAGGUUAUCCUUGGAUGAGAAACUUUAUAAAAGAGAUUUGGAAGUUGCCUUAGCCUUAUCUGUCAAAGAAAAAUCUGCAGAUCCCCAAGAAGUGCAAAAUUCAGAAGAACAAGGUAAGAAUACUGAAUCAGAAAAUACACAGAGGAGACCCCCUUUUUCCAACUGCAGUGUAGACAGUGAACUUUUAGGUCUCAAUCAGGUUAUGGAUGAUGAUGAUGCACCUGAGGGUGAUGGGAGGCAAAGGACAGCAGCAACCAAAGUUCCAGCACAUCACAAGUUACUGAUGGUUGACAGUGAUGACAGAGCCCAUGAUCCCGAUUCUGAGCCAGAGUCUUUACCCACAUCACCUAUAGUUUCUCCUUCUUGGAUAAUGGAGCACAACUCUGAGCCAAGGCAGAAGGUGAUGUCCAGUCCCUUGGAAGCAGCUGGGAGACCUCUACAUGCAUCAAGUCCUGUCACAGACAAAAAGCCUAAAUGGACACCGCCAGCUCCAUCAGGAAGCAGUAAUGCCUCUGUGAAAUGUGUUCCUGUUAAGUCACCUACUCACUGCCUAAGACUUGGCCUCUCCAGACUGGCAAGAGUCAAACCUCUCCAUCCCAGUGCUACCAGCACUUAAAUGGUCAGUGACAAAGUGCCACACAGAGGAAAAGAAUGUGGAAAGGGUUUUGCUGAUAAACAGAGGGUGGGCAGAAUCCUGGAAUCAUCCAUUUUGGAGGAUUCUUAUUACAGAUGUGUCUGAUGUUAGGAUGAGUUUUUAUUCUGCAAAUUGCUAGGCAUCUUUUAAGUGCCACUGAAUACUAAUGUUGUUUAAUCAAAGUGACAUCUGGCCACCAGCUUUUUGAUGUAUUAUAUUCAGAGAUGUUGGUUUGUGAUAAUUUUAAUUCUUUAAUACCUAAAGUCUUGGCAUUAACAUUAGUCUAGAGAGCACUAAGGCAGUAUGAUGAUAGGGAAAUGUUUUUUUAGAAUGUUGUAUUUUUUUAAAAAAACUAAAAUAAAAUACUUUAUAAUGUCUAACUGUAUUCCUUGAAUGUAUUAAUUUUGAAGGUCACUUUAAAUGUUGGUUGCAGUCUGGCAGAUAUUUUUGCCUGUGUAUGGUCUUACUGGAAGUGAGCAGCAUUAGUCAGGCUCAGACAAUGAGGAAUUUUCUUGGAGCUGAUGGGGCUUCAUUGAGGAUCAUGAUACCAUGCUCAGGAUUCAUUGAGCUGAAGACUCUAAAGAGUUAUAAUCAGGCAGUUCUUUCAGAAAUACCUUGUGAACCCCAUCCCAGCAUAAAGGUUAGUAGAUAGGUGCAUAUUUUUUAGAAUGUUAGAAGUCUGUAACUAUGUAGGAAGUCAACAUUAGAGGGCAUAAUAACAUCAAGUUACCAUGCCAGUGCAGUGGAGCUAUGUGGCUAUCGCUUGUAUUUGCAGUGUUUGCAUGUCAGAGGUCAGGUGACAAGUGUGAGCAAAAUAUCAAGAACAGAAAACCAAACAGGAUUUUAAUAAGCCUUAACCAUCUUAACUUUUGUCAAGUGUUAUCAACAGCACAGCCUCAUUCUAAUACAUUUUCACAGAUCAGUGACUUAUAAUGUUAGUAGGUAUUUCUUGCAUUAUUUAAUUCAGUUAUAAUAUUUAAUAUACAGUUCUUCUCCAGAUGUUUGCUAUAAUUUUUCUCAAGCGAGAGUUAAGCAUAAGUUUUACCCUCCAUGGGUAAAAGUCAUGUUGAUGCAAUUUGUGAGUGGGGUUCACAGCUGCUUCUGAGUGUCUGUCACGAUUUCAUAAGGAACAGAGUUGCCUGUAAGUCAAAAAUGUAAGAAUGGGCAAAUCUUACUCAGCCCUGCAAGGUGCAUCUGGAGUGCUGUGUCCAGUCCUGGGCUCCUCAGCACAGGAGGGACAGGGAGCUCCUGGACUGG